Molecule: ribosomal RNA, 449 nt
Filed under: uncultured prokaryote
Description: bacterial SSU rRNA
Rfam family: Bacterial small subunit ribosomal RNA
Source: RNAcentral
UGGGGAAUAUUGGACAAUGGGGGCAACCCUGAUCCAGCAAUGCCGCGUGUGUGAAGAAGGCCUGCGGGUUGUAAAGCACUUUCAGUAGAGACGAAAAGCCUAAGGUUAAUAACCUUGAGUCUUGACUUAACCUACAGAAGAAGCACCGGCUAACUCCGUGCCAGCAGCCGCGGUAAUACGGAGGAUGCAAGCGUUAUCCGGAAUGAUUGGGCGUAAAGCGUCCGCAGGUGGAAAUGCAAGUCUACUGUUAAAGAGUGAAGCUUAACUUCAUAAAGGCGGUGGAAACUGCAUAACUAGAGUACGUUCGGGGCAGAGGGAAUUCCUGGUGUAGCGGUGAAAUGCGUAGAUAUCAGGAAGAACACCGGUGGCGAAAGCGCUCUGCUAGGCCGUGACUGACACUGAGGGACGAAAGCUAAGGGAGCGAAUGGGAUUAGAUACCCCCGUAGUCC